AUUAUUAUAAAUACUCAUCGUAUAUUUCAUGGACACAAUAUCAAUCAAAAUCAAGUCAAUUAUGCAUUUUUAUCCCUUUAUCUUUAUUUUUGUGCAUUUCUUAAUUUAGUAUCUCAAGCAACUCACAAACACCUUAGUUAACACUUUUGUAGUAGUCAAGAGAUUCUUAAUUGAGGGACAAAGUUCUUUCAUCUAUAUAAUCACUUGUAGAAAAAGAAUCACAAUUGAGAGCUAUUCGUCCAUACCUCAAUUAAAUAUAUAGUUCAACAAUAUAUUUGACACAUC
RNAcentral lists this long non-coding RNA (285 nucleotides) under Medicago truncatula (barrel medic). RNAcentral's name for it is "long non-coding RNA (MTRU_LNC007062)". The record is from RNAcentral. Lineage: Eukaryota; Viridiplantae; Streptophyta; Magnoliopsida; Fabales; Fabaceae.